AUGCAGCUUUAUUAACUCAGUGAUAUUUAUCUUUCUUUCUUUCUUUUUUACAUUAUUUGAAAACUGAUAUGUGACACAUAUUAAUGCCAAAAUAACAUGCAAUACAGGAAAGCUAAAAAUGUGGGUCUCAAAACUGCCCCACCUGCCCUGAAUGACGGAUCCCCACUGGCUACAACGUAAAACAUAACUAGGUCUAUUGAGUGGUCUUCCUGAGAAAGCGUGGGAUUGCACAGUAGUAUAUAUUUUACUCUUGUAAAUCUCUCUUCUUGUUACAACGCUAUGUUUAUUUAUACAUCAGAUGAAUGUGUUAUAAGUGUGCUUCUUCUAAUACCAGAACCAAAGGAUCUGGAUUACAGUUGAGAUUACAUUAAAAGUACAUGGUGCAAGUGAUCAGUGCUGUUCGAGAUUCUGACAGAUUAUUAUUAAGUAUUGUGAAGAUUUCCACAGACCUGCGACCACCUAUGCAGUUAAAGUUGGAAGUUUACAUACACCUUAGCCAAAUACAUUUAUACUCAGUUUUUCACAAUUCCUGACAUUUAAUCCUCGUAAAAAUUCCCUUGUUUUACUGUGGAUAUAAAUACUUUUGUACCUGUUUCCUUCAGCAUCUUCACAAGUUCCUUUGCAGUUGUUCUAGGACUCACUUUUCACACCAAAGUACAUUCAUCUCUAGGGGACAGAACGCAUUUCCUUCCUGAGCGGUAUGACGGCUGCAUGGUCCCAUGGUGUUUAUACUUGCGUACUAUUGUUUGUACAGAUGAACGUGGUACCUUCAGGCGUUUGGAAAUUGCUCCCAAGGAUGAACCAGAUUUCUUUUGAUUUUCCCAUGAUGUCAAGCAAAGAGGCACUGAGUUUGAAGGUAGGCCUUGAAAUACAUCCACAGGUACACCUCCAAUUGACUCAAAUGAUGUCAAUUAGCCUAUCAGAAGAUUCUAAAGCCAUAACAUAAUUUUCAGAAAUUUUCCAAGCUGUUUAAAGGCACAGUCAAUUUAGUGUAUGUAAACUUCUGACCCACUGGAAUUGUAAUACAGCGAAUGAUAAGUCAAAUAAUCUGUCUGUAAACAAUUGUUGGAAAAAUUACUUGUGCCAUGCACCAAGUAGAUGUCCUAACCGACUUGCCAAAACUAUAGUUUGUUACCAAGAAAUUUUAUGAGUGGUUGAAAAACAACUUUUAAUUACUCUGUAUGCUAUCUUGAACAUGCCCGCUUUAUAUGAUUACAUAAGAAGACAUUUAUGUUAUCAAAUCAAACUAUAAAUGCACUUUAAAUAAAGUUUGAUUUGAAACAGUCCUAUUCUUUAACUUAGGUUUUUGGUUGAGAUUGAGACGUGAAUCCAAUGGGAGGUGCACUGAACAACAUAGAGCUUUGACUCCGUGGAACUCUAUUCCAUAUCAGGUAACUGAAUCAAGCAGUAAAAUCAGAUAAAAAAAAUAUACACCUUAUGGAGCAGUGGCGACUUUGAAGAGAUACACACACACACGCACGCACACACACACACUCUACACACACAUUGUAAUAUUGUUGUAUGGUGGUAUUAUACAUUUUGUUUUAUGUGUGAUGGAAGUGCCUUAAUGUGUUUUGACCCCAGGAAGAGUAGCUGCUGCCUUGGCAGGAACUAAUGGGAAUCCAUAAUAAACCCCAUGAAGAGUAGCUGCUGCCUUGGCAUGAACUAAUGGGUAUCCAUAAUAAACCCCAGGAAGAGUAGCUGCUGCCUUGGCAUGAACUAAUGGGAAUCCAUAAUAAACCCCAGGAAGAGUAGCUGCUGCCUUGGCAUGAACUAAUGGGAAUCCAUAAUAAACCCCUUGAAGAGUAGCUGCUGCCUUGGCAUGAACUAAUGGGUAUCCAUAAUAAACCCCAGGAAGACUAGCUGCUGCCUUGGCAUGAACUAAUGGGGAUCCAUAAUAAACCCCAGGAAGAGUAGCUGCUGCCUU
Long non-coding RNA from Oncorhynchus tshawytscha (Chinook salmon), 1927 nucleotides. The record is from Ensembl. Lineage: Eukaryota; Metazoa; Chordata; Actinopteri; Salmoniformes; Salmonidae.